This is a long non-coding RNA of Ruditapes philippinarum (Manila clam), 240 nucleotides long. RefSeq lists it as uncharacterized. The transcript has 3 exons. Lineage: Eukaryota; Metazoa; Mollusca; Bivalvia; Venerida; Veneridae. The record is from RefSeq and is a predicted model, not a curated record.
UAUCUUUCUUUCUUAUUCCUUCAUUAGAGAACUAUAGGCCUAUAACAACAAUGUAUUCAGGAUUUACGCUAUAUUUCGCGGAAUAUAGUUCCAUCUAUUAAAUAGGUACACCGCACUUAAGAAGGUCACAUUUAACAGAAGCAAAAGUUUGACAGAAUGUCGGAUCACAAGCUUGAAAAAAAAAUUUUCCCUGACUUCCCAUCAUCAUCAGAGGAACAAAGUGGCACUGUGGUAAGUUUU